GGGCGGCCUACUCCACAGCAAUAGACGUCCCGCCCAAAAAAAGGAGGAAAUGCGCCCGGCUCGGGCUGCGGCAGCGUGGAGACCUGUCGUAAAGCGGCUGAACACCGCGAGGAUGCCUCUUGCGGAGGCAGGGCGUCCGGAGCAAAAUAAGAUGGCA
RNAcentral lists this non-coding RNA (157 nucleotides) under bovine gut metagenome. Its description in RNAcentral is "malK-I RNA". It matches the Rfam family "malK-I RNA". The record is from RNAcentral.